RNAcentral lists this ribosomal RNA (251 nucleotides) under uncultured bacterium. RNAcentral's name for it is "partial 16S ribosomal RNA". It matches the Rfam family "Bacterial small subunit ribosomal RNA", at positions 524 to 776 of the family's 1533-position model. The record is from RNAcentral.
UACGUAGGUCCCGAGCGUUGUCCGGAUUUAUUGGGCGUAAAGCGAGCACAGGUGGUUUAUUAAGUCUGGUGUAAAAGGCAGUGGCUCAACCAUUGUAUGCAUUGGAAACUGGUAGACUUGAGUGCAGGAGAGGAGAGUGAAUUCCAUGUGUAGCGGUGAAAUGCGUAGAUAUAUGGAGGAACACCGGUGGCGAAAGCGGCUCUCUGGCCUGUAACUGACACUGAGGCUCGAAAGCGUGGGGAGCAAACAGG